GCGCACGUAGCUCAAUGGUGGAGCAAGGCCCUUAUAAGACCGAGGUUGCAGGUUCGAAUCCUGCCGUGCGCA
Molecule: transfer RNA, 72 nt
Filed under: Candidatus Nealsoniibacteriota bacterium
Lineage: Bacteria; Candidatus Nealsoniibacteriota
Description: tRNA-Ile
Rfam family: tRNA
About the family: Transfer RNA (tRNA) molecules are approximately 80 nucleotides in length. Their secondary structure includes four short double-helical elements and three loops (D, anti-codon, and T loops). Further hydrogen bonds mediate the characteristic L-shaped molecular structure. tRNAs have two regions of fundamental functional importance: the anti-codon, which is responsible for specific mRNA codon recognition, and the 3' end, to which the tRNAs corresponding amino acid is attached (by aminoacyl-tRNA synthetases). tRNAs cope with the degeneracy of the genetic code in two manners: having more than one tRNA (with a specific anti-codon) for a particular amino acid; and 'wobble' base-pairing, i.e. permitting non-standard base-pairing at the 3rd anti-codon position.
Source: RNAcentral